Eleginops maclovinus (Patagonian blennie) is the source of this 432-nucleotide long non-coding RNA. RefSeq lists it as uncharacterized. The transcript has 4 exons. The record is from RefSeq and is a predicted model, not a curated record. Lineage: Eukaryota; Metazoa; Chordata; Actinopteri; Perciformes; Eleginopidae.
UUGGUUAGUUGGUAGCGGAAGGCGGAGUACUCCUAAAACAUGCUGCUGCUCAGUUAAUGCAGCUACGAAGCAUCACUGGAUUCUCCCCAAAUGCAAGCGAUACGAAAGCAGGAAUUUCUGUGGACCAUCCUCUGCUGUGGGCCCCCAGAAUCAUCAACACCUUUCACCUCAAAUAGAUGAAUGCAGAAAAGUCUCAGAGACAUUUAUGGCUGAAGAAGCAAACAACACAGAAUGUGGUCUUCAUGUUUAGCUAACGGAUAGAUCUACAGUUUCAGAAAACUGAGGCCCUUUCGCCACGGGACAGAUUUCAUGCUUCCGGAUCAUCACUGCACCUCGACUGACACAAGGUUUGGACUGUGUCUGGGAUCCUGCAGGGGUGAAAGGGAUUCUCAGCAUAAUAUUUACAGUAUCACUGGCUGUGUUGAUGAUUUA